UACGAAGGGGGCUAGCGUUGCUCGGAAUCACUGGGCGUAAAGGGUGCGUAGGCGGGUCUUUAAGUCAGGGGUGAAAUCCUGGAGCUCAACUCCAGAACUACCUUCGAUACUGGCGAUCUUGAGUCCGGGAGAGUGAGUGGAACUGCGAGUGUAGAGGUGAAAUUCGUAGAUAUUCGCAAGAACACCAGUGGCGAAGGCGGCUCACUGGCCCGGUACUGACGCUGAGGUGCGAAAGCGUGGGGAGCAAACAGGG
Molecule: ribosomal RNA, 253 nt
Filed under: uncultured bacterium
Lineage: Bacteria
Description: partial 16S ribosomal RNA
Rfam family: Bacterial small subunit ribosomal RNA
Source: RNAcentral